RNAcentral lists this long non-coding RNA (466 nucleotides) under Bos indicus x Bos taurus (hybrid cattle). RNAcentral's name for it is "lncRNA (ENSBIXG00000015222.1)". Lineage: Eukaryota; Metazoa; Chordata; Mammalia; Artiodactyla; Bovidae. The record is from RNAcentral.
AUUAACUUAAAAAAAAUUACGUUUAUUGGGCCACUCAUUAUUGUCAUGAUUAAAGCCAAAGACUGGGGCUCAUGGCUUGGUGCUGUUGGAACCACCCAGGAUGGUUGGCUUGAUGAGAAAAUGACGGCCCAGAGAAGUUAAGUGAAUUAUCCAAGGUUAUGCAUGCUUCCUGUAUGCCAAGUCGCUUCAGUCAUGUCCAAGGUUACCCAGCUACUAAGCACCAGGGCCUGGAUACACACAGAGGCACAUUGGAAAUGCAGUAGAAAACGGCUGCCAGUUUAAAAGCAGAAGUUAAGAAGCACAAACCCAAGCGUGCGGUGAGAGGGCUUCAAGCUAGACCAGCUCCCAGCAGAAGUGAGUCCCAAGAUCAUGGAUUCUGUUGCCUCUUCUGUCUUCUGCAAAGUGGCAGAUGCCAGCACCUGGGCUUGAACUUGAUCAUGACUGUUUAUUUCCUAACCUUUUCUGG